CUGAUUAUUCCCUCAGCACACAGCAUUAAGGAGAAAUAACAUAGACUGUUCAGUCUGAAGGUACCUGGUAUAGAGGGACAUGUCUUAUAGUAGAUUCUCUCCUUGUGGUGAACUAGCAUGUUAAAAAAGUAGCUCAGUGCAUUAUUGGUCUAGUUCUGUACAAAAUAGGUUAAUUACAUUGUAUUUAUAUCUGAGUAUCAUGUCCUCUUCCUGCACUCAACUUGCCACUGGAUCACAUAACAUCCAUCCAACCAUCCAUCUUCUCAAAAGUAAUAUACCGAGUUCCAAUGUUCAAUUCUUGUUCAAUAUGUUCUGAUUUGACUCAAGCAAGAUACAAAUACAUGUAAUAUGGUAUUGUCAAAUAGAAAUAUUAAUAAGAUCUUACUAAAACAUAAACCUUAUAAAAUAAC
RNAcentral lists this long non-coding RNA (410 nucleotides) under Mytilus galloprovincialis (Mediterranean mussel). Lineage: Eukaryota; Metazoa; Mollusca; Bivalvia; Mytilida; Mytilidae. The record is from RNAcentral.